RNAcentral lists this transfer RNA (69 nucleotides) under Microcaecilia dermatophaga (tiny white caecilian). RNAcentral's name for it is "tRNA-His". It matches the Rfam family "tRNA". Rfam says of the family: Transfer RNA (tRNA) molecules are approximately 80 nucleotides in length. Their secondary structure includes four short double-helical elements and three loops (D, anti-codon, and T loops). The record is from RNAcentral. Lineage: Eukaryota; Metazoa; Chordata; Amphibia; Gymnophiona; Siphonopidae.
GUGAGUAUAGUUUAAUAAAACAUUAGAUUGUGAUUCUAAAAACAGGGGAUAUUAAACCCCUUACACACC